GGUAGUCCACGCCCUAAACGAUGAACAUUAGAUAUUAGGCACUAUGCUUAGUAUCGCAGUUAACACUUUAAAUGUUCCGCCUGAGUAGUACGACCGCAAGGUUAAAACUCAAAGGAAUUGACGGGAACCCGCACAAGUGGUGGAGCAUGUGGUUUAAUUCAAUACGAAGCGAAGAACCUUACCAAGGCUUGACAUGAGAGGUAAUGGCAGCAAUGCUAUUGCUUAAACUAGAGAAAUCUAGUUGAGUCCCACAGGUGGUGCAUGGUCAUCGUCAGUUCGUGCCGUGAGGUGUAUGGUUAAG
RNAcentral lists this ribosomal RNA (301 nucleotides) under uncultured bacterium. RNAcentral's name for it is "bacterial SSU rRNA". It matches the Rfam family "Bacterial small subunit ribosomal RNA", at positions 789 to 1084 of the family's 1533-position model. The record is from RNAcentral.